This 260-nucleotide ribosomal RNA is filed under the name uncultured prokaryote. RNAcentral describes it as "partial 16S ribosomal RNA". It matches the Rfam family "Bacterial small subunit ribosomal RNA", at positions 524 to 782 of the family's 1533-position model. The record is from RNAcentral.
UACGGAGGGUGCAAGCGUUGUCCGGAAUUACUGGGCGUAAAGAGCUCGUAGGUGGUUUGUCACGUCGUCUGUGAAAUUCCGGGGCUUAACCUCGGGCGUGCAGGCGAUACGGGCAAUACUUGAGUGCUGUAGGGGAGACUGGAAUUCCUGGUGUAGCGGUGAAAUGCGCAGAUAUCAGGAGGAACACCAAUGGCGAAGGCAGGUCUCUGGGCAGUUACUGACGCUGAGGAGCGAAAGCAUGGGUAGCGAACAGGAUUAGA